GGUAUUUACCCAACGUUUACUGGUAAGCGUUAAGUCUGCCCUUUGCUUCGGCAUCGUGGUUUGACACCCAUUUUUGGUACAUAUCCUUUCGGGUCA
This 96-nucleotide unclassified non-coding RNA is filed under the name Prionchulus punctatus. Its description in RNAcentral is "partial trans-spliced leader sequence SL3.3". The record is from RNAcentral. Lineage: Eukaryota; Metazoa; Nematoda; Enoplea; Mononchida; Mononchidae.